RNAcentral lists this ribosomal RNA (301 nucleotides) under uncultured bacterium. RNAcentral describes it as "partial 16S ribosomal RNA". It matches the Rfam family "Bacterial small subunit ribosomal RNA", at positions 509 to 807 of the family's 1533-position model. The record is from RNAcentral.
CAGUAGCCGCGGGAAUACGGAGGGAGCUAGCGUUGUUCGGAAUUACUGGGCGUAAAGCGCACGUAGGCGGAUAUUUAAGUCAGGGGUGAAAUCCCGCAGCUCAACUGCGGAACUGCCUUUGAUACUGGGUAUCUUGAGUAUGGAAGAGGUUAGUGGAAUUGCGAGUGUAGAGGUGAAAUUCGUAGAUAUUCGCAGGAACACCAGUGGCGAAGGCGGCUAACUGGUCCAUAACUGACGCUGAGGUGCGAAAGCGUGGGGAGCAAACAGGAUUAGAGACCCCUGUAGUCCCUGUCUCUUAUAC